Molecule: RNA transcript, 1951 nt
Organism: Vigna radiata var. radiata (mung bean)
Lineage: Eukaryota; Viridiplantae; Streptophyta; Magnoliopsida; Fabales; Fabaceae
Gene name: DEAD-box ATP-dependent RNA helicase 20
Exons: 11
Source: RefSeq, a predicted model, not a curated record
CAACAGCAGCGUGACUUGGGCCAGCUAAGAAAAGCCCAAUUACCUGUUAGAGAGAAACUGAAAAACGCUGUUUGAGGAGCUACAAGAGAGGAGGAAAGUGAAGAGUGUAUUAUCGAAGGACAUCAUGAGCCGCUACGACAGCCGCUCCGGCGACCCCACUUCUUACCGUGACAGGAGGAGUGAUUCUGGCCUAGGUGCACCUACAGGGUUUGGUGGUUCUGUACAGCAUUCUUCGUCAAACAGGAGGGAUCAUGAUGAUGGUGGAUCACCAAAGAGGAACCUCAGUUUGGAUGGUUUACCUCAUUUUGAGAAAAACUUCUACAUCGAGUCACCCGCAGUAAGGGCAAUGACUGAUGCUGAGGUUAAUGAGUACCGACAGCAGAGGGAAAUAACUGUUGAAGGUCGAGAUAUCCCCAAGCCUGUCAAGACCUUUCAAGAUGCUGGUUUUCCAGAAUAUGUGAUGCAAGAAAUUACAAAAGCUGGCUUUACUGAGCCUACACCCAUUCAAUCUCAAGGUUGGCCCAUGGCUUUGAAGGGGCGUGAUCUCAUAGGAAUAGCUGAAACAGGUUCAGGGAAGACACUUGCUUACUUAUUACCUGCCAUUGUGCAUGUUAAUGCUCAGCCGAUCCUAGAUCCUGGAGAUGGACCUAUUGUGUUAGUAUUGGCUCCAACUCGUGAACUUGCUGUUCAAAUACAACAAGAGGCUACUAAAUUUGGUGCAUCAUCUAGGAUUAAGAGUACAUGCAUAUAUGGUGGGGUUCCAAAGGGACCUCAAGUGCGUGAUCUCCAGAAAGGUGUUGAAAUUGUAAUUGCCACUCCCGGAAGGUUAAUUGAUAUGCUCGAAUCAAAUCAUACCAACUUACAGAGGGUCACAUAUCUUGUAUUGGAUGAAGCUGAUAGGAUGUUGGAUAUGGGGUUUGAUCCUCAGCUGCGGAAGAUUGUUUCUCAGAUCCGACCGGACCGUCAAACUUUGUAUUGGAGUGCUACUUGGCCAAAGGAGGUCGAACAAUUGGCACGGAAGUUCCUUUACAACCCAUAUAAAGUAAUUAUAGGGUCUGAAGAUUUGAAAGCUAACCAUGCAAUACGUCAAUAUGUUGACAUUGUUUCGGAAAAGCAGAAAUAUGAUAAAUUGGUGAAGUUGCUAGAGGACAUCAUGGAUGGCAGCCGAAUACUGAUAUUCAUGGAUACCAAAAAAGGAUGUGAUCAGAUCACUAGGCAACUCCGCAUGGAUGGCUGGCCUGCACUUUCAAUUCAUGGAGACAAAAGUCAAGCAGAAAGAGAUUGGGUGCUCUCAGAAUUUAAAUCAGGAAAAAGUCCUAUUAUGACUGCAACAGAUGUUGCAGCCCGUGGUUUAGAUGUGAAGGAUGUGAAGUAUGUAAUAAAUUAUGACUUUCCGGGGUCACUUGAAGACUAUGUCCAUCGCAUUGGACGGACUGGGAGAGCUGGUGCAAAAGGAACUGCCUACACAUUCUUCACAGCUGCUAAUGCUAGAUUUGCAAAGGAACUAAUCGCCAUACUUGAGGAAGCUGGACAGAAAGUUAGUCCUGAAUUAGCAGCAAUGGGCCGUGGUGCACCACCUCCGCCUUCAGGUCCCCGAGGUUUCCAAGACCGUGGGAGGGGUUAUGGCAGUUCUCGUCCAUGGAGCUGAUUCAUGAAGGUGCAGACAGACCUUCUUGAUCGAUGAAUCGUGCCAUUUGUGUUGCUACUGACGUUAUAUUGUCUUGAUCAUUAAUGUAAACUUUAAACGAGGAUAAUAUAUAUGGUCUGACUUAAGCACAAAACAAGAACAUGAUCCAAAGUUCUACUCUAUUUGGUGGGGGAGUAUCACAGUUUUAAGCAUCACAUUAAGUAUUUAUUCACUGUCAUGUCUUAAAAUAUCUCUUGCAAAAUCAAAACAAUGUCUGGAACGAUUUUUAUCACUGAUAUGAUGGUACUAUUGUUAUUGUUAUUA